RNAcentral lists this non-coding RNA (217 nucleotides) under Candidatus Brocadia. Lineage: Bacteria; Pseudomonadati; Planctomycetota; Candidatus Brocadiia; Candidatus Brocadiales; Candidatus Brocadiaceae. The record is from RNAcentral. RNAcentral also lists the same sequence under 1 other name.
AUAAUAAGAUGAAUUACAGGUAACGCUCCCGCAAAAAUGCGGGAGAUAAAAGGGAAUCCAUGACUCGUUAUCACAAGAGACAGGGAGCGGACCCGCCGCUGUAACCGGGGACGAAGGUCACAAUACCACUGGAAAUACCGUCGAAACGGCUUUCUGGGAAGGGUGGCCGGUUGGAUGAUCCGGGAGCCAGAAGACCUGCCUGUAAUUACUUCACGUU